CCUACGGGUGACAGCAGUGAGGAAUAUUGGUCAAUGGACGAGAGUCUGAACCAGCCAAGUAGCGUGAAGGAUGACUGCCCUAUGGGUUGUAAACUUCUUUUAUAUGGGAAUAAAAUGUUCCACGUGUGGGAUUUUGUAUGUACCAUAUGAAUAAGGAUCGGCUAACUCCGUGCCAGCAGCCGCGGUAAUACGGAGGAUCCGAGCGUUAUCCGGAUUUAUUGGGUUUAAAGGGAGCGUAGGUGGAUUGUUAAGUCAGUUGUGAAAGUUUGCGGCUCAACCGUAAAAUUGCAGUUGAAACUGGCAGUCUUGAGUACAGUAGAGGUGGGCGGAAUUUGUGGUGUAGCGGUGAAAUGCUUAGAUAUCACGAAGAACUCCGAUUGCGAAGGCAGUUCACUGGACUGCAACUGACACUGAGGCUCGAAAGUGUGGGUAUCAAACAGGAUUAGAUACCCCUGUAGUC
This 460-nucleotide ribosomal RNA is filed under the name uncultured bacterium. RNAcentral describes it as "partial 16S ribosomal RNA". It matches the Rfam family "Bacterial small subunit ribosomal RNA", at positions 338 to 795 of the family's 1533-position model. The record is from RNAcentral.